AGAGUUUGAUCAUGGCUCAGGAUGAACGCUAGCUACAGGCUUAACACAUGCAAGUCGAGGGGAAACGAUAUUGGAAGCUUGCUUCCGAUAGGCGUCGACCGGCGCACGGGUGAGUAACACGUAUCCAACCUGCCGUCUACUCUUGGCCAGCCUUCUGAAAGGAAGAUUAAUCCAGGAUGGCAUCAUGAGUUCACAUGUCCGCAUGAUUAAAGGUAUUUUCCGGUAGACGAUGGGGAUGCGUUCCAUUAGAUAGUAGGCGGGGUAACGGCCCACCUAGUCAACGAUGGAUAGGGGUUCUGAGAGGAAGGUCCCCCACAUUGGAACUGAGACACGGUCCAA
RNAcentral lists this ribosomal RNA (339 nucleotides) under uncultured bacterium. RNAcentral's name for it is "bacterial SSU rRNA". It matches the Rfam family "Bacterial small subunit ribosomal RNA", at positions 8 to 334 of the family's 1533-position model. The record is from RNAcentral.